This 264-nucleotide unclassified non-coding RNA is filed under the name Hevea brasiliensis (rubber tree). The record is from RNAcentral. Lineage: Eukaryota; Viridiplantae; Streptophyta; Magnoliopsida; Malpighiales; Euphorbiaceae.
AAUCAGGUUGCCGUCGUCGGUGCGGCCGAAACCACCAAACUUGGCGUCAUCCCCGACAUGUCGCAAAUCCAGUUGCAUGCGGACGCCGCGCUCAAUGCGCUGGCGGAUGCCGGCCUGAAGCUGUCGGACAUCGACGGUAUCGCCACUGCGGUAGAAACGCCGCAACAGCUCGCACACUACCUCGGCAUCACGCCGACAUGGGUUGACGGCACGUCGGUCGGCGGCUGUUCGUUCAUGCUGCAUGUCCGCCACGCCGCGGCGGCA